GCCGGAGUAGCUCAGUUGGUCAGAGCAGCGGAAUCAUAAUCCGCGUGUCGGGGGUUCAAGUCCCUCCUCCGGCA
This 74-nucleotide transfer RNA is filed under the name Gemmatimonadota bacterium. RNAcentral describes it as "Gemmatimonadetes bacterium tRNA-Met". It matches the Rfam family "tRNA". From Rfam's summary of the family: Transfer RNA (tRNA) molecules are approximately 80 nucleotides in length. Their secondary structure includes four short double-helical elements and three loops (D, anti-codon, and T loops). RNAcentral also lists the same sequence under 2 other names. The record is from RNAcentral. Lineage: Bacteria; Pseudomonadati; Gemmatimonadota.